RNAcentral lists this ribosomal RNA (529 nucleotides) under uncultured bacterium. RNAcentral's name for it is "bacterial SSU rRNA". It matches the Rfam family "Bacterial small subunit ribosomal RNA", at positions 777 to 1304 of the family's 1533-position model. The record is from RNAcentral.
AAUAGAUACCCCGGUAGUCCACGCCGUAAACGAUGAGUGCUAAGUGUUAGAGGGUUUCCGCCCUUUAGUGCUGCAGCUAACGCAUUAAGCACUCCGCCUGGGGAGUACGGUCGCAAGACUGAAACUCAAAGGAAUUGACGGGGGCCCGCACAAGCGGUGGAGCAUGUGGUUUAAUUCGAAGCAAUGCGAAGAACCUUACCAGGUCUUGACAUCCUCUGACAACUCUAGAGAUAGAGCGUUCCCCUUCGGGGGACAGAGUGACAGGUGGUGCAUGGUUGUCGUCAGCUCGUGUCGUGAGAUGUUGGGUUAAGUCCCGCAACGAGCGCAACCCUUGAUCUUAGUUGCCAGCAUUAAGUUGGGCACUCUAAGGUGACUGCCGGUGACAAACCGGAGGAAGGUGGGGAUGACGUCAAAUCAUCAUGCCCCUUAUGACCUGGGCUACACACGUGCUACAAUGGAUGGUACAAAGGGCUGCAAGACCGCGAGGUCAAGCCAAUCCCAUAAAACCAUUCUCAGUUCGGAUUGUAGG